CGGAGCGUAGCGCAGCCUGGUAGCGCACCUGCUUCGGGGAGCAGGGGGUCGGAGGUUCGAAUCCUCUCGCUCCGACCA
RNAcentral lists this transfer RNA (78 nucleotides) under Cereibacter sphaeroides. RNAcentral describes it as "Rhodobacter sphaeroides tRNA-Pro". It matches the Rfam family "tRNA". Rfam says of the family: Transfer RNA (tRNA) molecules are approximately 80 nucleotides in length. Their secondary structure includes four short double-helical elements and three loops (D, anti-codon, and T loops). The record is from RNAcentral. Lineage: Bacteria; Pseudomonadati; Pseudomonadota; Alphaproteobacteria; Rhodobacterales; Paracoccaceae.